This 253-nucleotide ribosomal RNA is filed under the name uncultured bacterium. RNAcentral's name for it is "partial 16S ribosomal RNA". It matches the Rfam family "Bacterial small subunit ribosomal RNA", at positions 524 to 776 of the family's 1533-position model. The record is from RNAcentral.
GACGUAGGUGGCGAACGUUAUCCGGAAUUACUGGGCGUAAAGUGUGCGCAGGCGGCCGCGCAAGUCGAGUGUGAAAGCCCCGAGCUUAACUUGGGAACUGCGCUCGAAACUACGUGGCUGGAGUGUGGCAGAGGGAGGUGGAAUUCCACGUGUAGCGGUGAAAUGCGUAGAGAUGUGGAGGAACACCGAUGGCGAAGGCAGCCUCCUGGGCCAACACUGACGCUCAUGCACGAAAGCGUGGGGAGCAAACAGG